RNAcentral lists this ribosomal RNA (196 nucleotides) under Heterodera glycines (soybean cyst nematode). Its description in RNAcentral is "partial 18S ribosomal RNA". It matches the Rfam family "Eukaryotic small subunit ribosomal RNA", at positions 1641 to 1831 of the family's 1831-position model. The record is from RNAcentral. Lineage: Eukaryota; Metazoa; Nematoda; Chromadorea; Rhabditida; Heteroderidae. RNAcentral also lists the same sequence under 1 other name.
UUGAUUACGUCCCUGCCCUUUGUACACACCGCCCGUCGCUGCCCGGGACUGAGCCAUUUCGAGAAAUUCGGGGACGGUUAGUGUUCCGGCUUCGGUCGGUAUGCAGACUGGAACCGAUUUAAUCGCAGUGGCUUGAACCGGGCAAAAGUCGUAACAAGGUAGCUGUAGGUGAACCUGCUGCUGGAUCAUUACCCAA